GCUGGGCGCAGUGGCGUGUGCCUGUAGUCCCAGCUACUCGGGAGGCUGAGGUGGGAGGAUUGCUUGAGCCCAGGAGUUCUGGGCUGUAGUGCGCUAUGCUGAUCAGGUGUCUGCACUAAGUUCAGCAUCAAUAUGGUGACCUCCUGAGAGCAGUGGACCACCAAGUUGCCUAAGGAGGGGUAAACCAGCCCAGGUCAGAAACAGAGCAGGUCAAAACUCCCGUGCUGAUCAGUAGUGGGAUCGCACCUGUGAAUAGCAACUGAAACCCAGCCUGGGCAACAUAGUGAGACCCCAUCUCU
This 299-nucleotide signal recognition particle RNA is filed under the name Saimiri boliviensis boliviensis (Bolivian squirrel monkey). RNAcentral's name for it is "Metazoan signal recognition particle RNA (ENSSBOG00000015212.1)". It matches the Rfam family "Metazoan signal recognition particle RNA". From Rfam's summary of the family: The signal recognition particle (SRP) is a universally conserved ribonucleoprotein. It is involved in the co-translational targeting of proteins to membranes. Lineage: Eukaryota; Metazoa; Chordata; Mammalia; Primates; Cebidae. The record is from RNAcentral.